CGUAAACAAAGGGAGGCAAGACGGCGCGUCAGCAAAUCCCAGAAAUAACGUCCCAGUUCGGAUUGUAGUCUGCAACCCGACUACAUGAAGCUGGAAUCGCUAGUAAUCGCGGAUCAGAAUGCCGCGGUGAAUACGUUCCCGGGUCUUGUACACACCGCCCGUCACACCAUGGGAGUCGGAAAUGCCCGAAGUCAGUGACCCAACCGUAAGGAGGGAGCUGCCGAAGGUGGAGCCGGUAACUGGGGUGAAGUCGUAACAAGGUAUC
Molecule: ribosomal RNA, 265 nt
Filed under: uncultured bacterium
Lineage: Bacteria
Description: partial 16S ribosomal RNA
Rfam family: Bacterial small subunit ribosomal RNA
Source: RNAcentral